CCUACGGGUGGCAGCAGUGGGGAAUAUUGGGCAAUGGGCGAAAGCCUGACCCAGCAAUGCCGCGUGAAUGAAGAAGGUCUUAGGAUUGUAAAAUUCUAUCCUAUGGGCAGAAACAAAUGACGGUACCAUAGGAGGAAGCCCCGGCUAACUACGUGCCAGCAUCCGCGGUAAUACGUAGGGGGCGAGCGUUGUCCGGAAUUACUGGUCUUAAAGAGAUCGUAGGCGGCACUACAAGUCUAAUGGUAAAUACCCGGGGUUAACUUGGGGGGUGCAUGGGAAACUGUAGAGCUUGAGUACAGGAGAGGCAAGCGGAAUUCAUAGUGUAGCGGUGAAAUGCAUAGAUAUUAGGAGGAACACCAGUGGCGAAGGCGGCUUGCUGGACUGAAACUGACGCUGAGGCUCGAAAGCGUGGGGAGCAAACAGGAUUAGAUACCCCGGUAGUC
RNAcentral lists this ribosomal RNA (443 nucleotides) under uncultured bacterium. RNAcentral's name for it is "partial 16S ribosomal RNA". It matches the Rfam family "Bacterial small subunit ribosomal RNA", at positions 338 to 795 of the family's 1533-position model. The record is from RNAcentral.